UUGAAACCUAGUGAUGUAUGGAUUAGUGGCGGACGGGUGAGUAACGCGUGGAUAACCUGCCGUAUACAGGGGGAUAACACUUAGAAAUAGGUGCUAAUACCGCAUAAGCGCACGGUUCCGCAUGGAACAGUGUGAAAAACUCCGGUGGUAUACGAUGGAUCCGCGUCUGAUUAGCCAGUUGGCGGGGUAACGGCCCACCAAAGCGACGAUCAGUAGCCGGCCUGAGAGGGUGAACGGCCACAUUGGGACUGAGACACGGCCCAAACUCCUACGGGAGGCAGCAGUGGGGAAUAUUGCACAAUGGGGGAAACCCUGAUGCAGCGACGCCGCGUGAGUGAAGAAGUAUUUCGGUACGUAAAGCUCUAUCAGCAGGGAAGAAAAUGACGGUACCUGACUAAGAAGCCCCGGCUAACUACGUGCCAGCAGCCGCGGUAAUACGUAGGGGGCAAGCGUUAUCCGGAUUUACUGGGUGUAAAGGGAGCGUAGACGGCAGCGCAAGUCUGGAGUGAAAUGCCGGGGCCCAACCCCGGAACUGCUUUGGAAACUGUGCAGCUCGAGUGCAGGAGAGGUAAGCGGAAUUCCUAGUGUAGCGGUGAAAUGCGUAGAUAUUAGGAGGAACACCAGUGGCGAAGGCGGCUUACUGGACUGUAACUGACGUUGAGGCUCGAAAGCGUGGGGAGCAAACAGGAUUAGAUACCCUGGUAGUCCACGCCGUAAACGAUGAUUACUAGGUGUCGGGGGGCCAAGGCCCUCCGGUGCCGCCGCAAACGCAUUAAGUAAUCCACCUGGGGAGUACGUUCG
RNAcentral lists this ribosomal RNA (801 nucleotides) under uncultured bacterium. RNAcentral describes it as "bacterial SSU rRNA". It matches the Rfam family "Bacterial small subunit ribosomal RNA", at positions 70 to 888 of the family's 1533-position model. The record is from RNAcentral.